RNAcentral lists this long non-coding RNA (314 nucleotides) under Musa acuminata (dwarf banana). RNAcentral describes it as "long non-coding RNA (MACU_LNC003342)". The record is from RNAcentral. Lineage: Eukaryota; Viridiplantae; Streptophyta; Magnoliopsida; Zingiberales; Musaceae.
CCUUGGAACCUAAUUAUGUUGUGGAUGUCCGAAUAUAAAAUAGUUGAAGAUAGUAUUGCGUUGGUCAGAUUUGCUAAGGUGGCGACCAUAUGUUUGCAGCAGGUUAGAAAUCCAUGGCUCUAUGAAUAGUGAGUUUUUUUUAUAUAAAAUAACAUGUAUGGCUUAUUUGGUCUUUUAAGUUAAACCCUCCCAAUGCUUAUGGACAUGGGGAUCCUCCUCAAAAGACCAUCCUCAACUUUGACCCGCAUAAAACAAAAACAUAUAUUAUCGAUAUGAUCAACGAUGAUAGCGACGACGAGAAUGAUAAGCAAAAG